RNAcentral lists this ribosomal RNA (253 nucleotides) under uncultured bacterium. RNAcentral's name for it is "partial 16S ribosomal RNA". It matches the Rfam family "Bacterial small subunit ribosomal RNA", at positions 524 to 776 of the family's 1533-position model. The record is from RNAcentral.
UACGUAGGUGGCAAGCGUUGUCCGGAUUUACUGGGCGUAAAGAGCGCGCAGGCGGCUGGGCAAGUCCGAUGUGAAAGCUUCCGGCUUAACUGGAAAAUUGCAUCGGAAACUGCUCGGCUUGAAGGUGGGAGAGGGUAGCGGAAUUCCCGGUGUAGUGGUGAAAUGCGUAGAGAUCGGGAGGAACACCAGCGGCGAAGGCGGCGACCUGGACAGGUACUGACACUCAACUACGAAAGCGUGGGGAGCAAACAGG